RNAcentral lists this ribosomal RNA (561 nucleotides) under uncultured bacterium. RNAcentral describes it as "bacterial SSU rRNA". It matches the Rfam family "Bacterial small subunit ribosomal RNA", at positions 36 to 615 of the family's 1533-position model. The record is from RNAcentral.
CUGGCGGCGUGCCUAACACAUGCAAGUCGAACGAGAAAGUCCCGCAAGGGAUGAGUACAGUGGCGCACGGGUGAGUAACACGUGACUAACCUACCUUCGAGUGGGGAAUAACCUCGGGAAACCGGGGCUAAUACCGCAUAACAUCAUCGGGUGAAAUUCCUGCUGAUCAAAAGUUUUUUGCUUGAAGAGGGGGUCGCGGCUGAUUAGCUAGUUGGUGAGGUGAUGGCUCACCAAGGCUGUGAUCAGUAGCCGGCCUGAGAGGGCGCACGGCCACACUGGAACUGAAACACGGUCCAGACUCCUACGGGAGGCAGCAGUGGGGAAUUUUGCGCAAUGGGGGAAACCCUGACGCAGCAACGCCGCGUGGAGGAUGAAGUCCCUUGGGACGUAAACUCCUUUCGACCGGGACGAAUAAUGACGGUACCGGAAGAAGAAGCCCCGGCUAACUUCGUGCCAGCAGCCGCGGUAAUACGAGGGGGGCAAGCGUUGUUCGGAAUUAUUGGGCGUAAAGGGCGCGUANGCGGUGCGGAAAGUCUUCAGUGAAAUCUCUGGGCUCAACUC